GAUGAACGCUGGCGGCGUGCCUAAUACAUGCAAGUCGAGCGAACAGACGAGGAGCUUGCUCCUCUGACGUUAGCGGCGGACGGGUGAGUAACACGUGGAUAACCUACCUAUAAGACUGGGAUAACUUCGGGAAACCGGAGCUAAUACCGGAUAAUAUAUUGAACCGCAUGGUUCAAUAGUGAAAGACGGUUUUGCUGUCCCUUAUAAAUGGAUCCGCGCCGCAUUAGCUAGUUGGUAAGGUAACGGCUUACCAAGGCAACGAUGCGUAGCAGACCUGAGAGGGUGAUCGGCCACACUGGAACUGAGACACGGUCCAGACUCCUACGGGAGGCAGCAGUAGGGAAUCUUCCGCAAUGGGCGAAAGCUUGACGGAGCAACGCCGCGUGAGUGAUGAAGGUCUUCGGAUCGUAAAACUCUGUGAUUAGGGAAGAACAAAUGUGUAAGUAACUAUGCACGUCUUGACGGUACCUAAUCAGAAAGCCACGGCUAACUACGUG
This 497-nucleotide ribosomal RNA is filed under the name uncultured bacterium. RNAcentral's name for it is "partial 16S ribosomal RNA". It matches the Rfam family "Bacterial small subunit ribosomal RNA", at positions 28 to 507 of the family's 1533-position model. The record is from RNAcentral.